UAGGGAAUCUUCCGCAAGGGGCGAAAGCCUGACGGAGCAACGCCGCGUGAGUGAUGAAGGUCUUCGGAUCGAAAAACUCUGUUAUUAGGGAAGAACAAAUGUGUAAGUAACUAUGCACGUCUUGACGGUACCUAAUCAGAAAGCCACGGCUAACUACGGGCCAGCAGCCGCGGUAAUACGUAGGUGGCAAGCGGUAUCCGGAAUUAUUGGGCGUAAAGCGCGCAUAGGCGGUGGUUUAAGUCUGAUGUGAAAGCCCACGGGUCAACCGUGGAGGGUCAUUGGAAACUGGAAAACUUGAGUGCAGAAGAGGAAAGUGGAAUUCCAUGUGUAGCGGUGAAAUGCGCAGAGAAAUGGAGGAACACCAGUUGCGAAGGCGACUUUCUGGUCUGUAACUGACGCUGAUGUGCGAAAGCGUGGGGAUCAAACAGG
Molecule: ribosomal RNA, 429 nt
Filed under: Actinomycetes bacterium
Lineage: Bacteria; Bacillati; Actinomycetota; Actinomycetes
Description: Actinobacteria bacterium partial 16S ribosomal RNA
Rfam family: Bacterial small subunit ribosomal RNA
Source: RNAcentral